This 442-nucleotide ribosomal RNA is filed under the name uncultured bacterium. Its description in RNAcentral is "partial 16S ribosomal RNA". It matches the Rfam family "Bacterial small subunit ribosomal RNA", at positions 338 to 795 of the family's 1533-position model. The record is from RNAcentral.
CCUACGGGAGGCAGCAGUGGGGAAUAUUGGGCAAUGGGCGCAAGCCUGACCCAGCAACGCCGCGUGAAGGAAGAAGGCUUUCGGGUUGUAAACUUCUUUUGACAGGGAAGAGUAGAAGACGGUACCUGUCGAAUAAGCACCGGCUAACUACGUGCCAGCAGCCGCGGUAAUACGUAGGUGGCAAGCGUUGUCCGGAUUUACUGGGUGUAAAGGGCGUGUAGCCGGGUUGACAAGUCAGAUGUGAAAUCCCGCGGCUUAACCGCAGAACUGCAUUUGAAACUGUUGAGCUGGAGUACCGGAGAGGCAGACGGAAUUCCUAGUGUAGCGGUGAAAUGCGUAGAUAUUAGGAGGAACACCAGUGGCGAAGGCGGUCUGCUGGACAGCGACUGACGGUGAGGCGCGAAAGCGUGGGGAGCAAACAGGAUUAGAUACCCUAGUAGUC